RNAcentral lists this ribosomal RNA (273 nucleotides) under uncultured bacterium. RNAcentral describes it as "partial 16S ribosomal RNA". It matches the Rfam family "Bacterial small subunit ribosomal RNA", at positions 524 to 776 of the family's 1533-position model. The record is from RNAcentral.
UACAGAGGGCGCGAGCGUUGUCCGGAAUCACUGGGCGUAAAGGGCGCGUAGGUGGCCACCAUAAGGCCGCGGUGAAAGUUCGGGGCUCAACCCUGAAUCGGCCGCGGCGACUGUGGGGCUCGGGUACUGUAGAGGCAGGUGGAAUUCCGGGUGUAGCGGUGGAAUGCGUAGAGAUCCGGAAGAACACCAGUGGCGAAGGCGGCCUGCUGGGCAGUGGGACCGAAAGGUCUCUUCAACCGACACUGAGGCGCGACAGCGUGGGGAGCAAACAGG